This 469-nucleotide ribosomal RNA is filed under the name uncultured bacterium. Its description in RNAcentral is "partial 16S ribosomal RNA". It matches the Rfam family "Bacterial small subunit ribosomal RNA", at positions 28 to 507 of the family's 1533-position model. The record is from RNAcentral.
GACGAACGCUGGCGGCGUGCUUAACACAUGCAAGUCGAACGAUGAAGCCUUAGCUUGCUUUGGUGGAUUAGUGGCGAACGGGUGAGUAACACGUGAGCAACGUGCCCAGGACUCUGGAAUAACCGCGGGAAACCGUGGCUAAUACCGGAUAGGUGCCGAGGCCGCAUGGUCUUCGGUUGGAAAGUUUUUGCGGUUCUGGAUCGGCUCACGGCCUAUCAGCUUGUUGGUGGGGUAAUGGCCUACCAAGGCGACGACGGGUAGCCGGCCUGAGAGGGUGACCGGCCACACUGGGACUGAGACACGGCCCAGACUCCUACGGGAGGCAGCAGUGGGGAAUAUUGCACAAUGGGCGCAAGCCUGAUGCAGCAACGCCGCGUGGGGGAUGACGGCCUUCGGGUUGUAAACCGCUUUUAGUAGGGAAGAAGCGCAAGUGACGGUACCUGCAGAAAAAGCACCGGCUAACUACGUG